Molecule: ribosomal RNA, 913 nt
Filed under: Haliclona oculata
Lineage: Eukaryota; Metazoa; Porifera; Demospongiae; Haplosclerida; Chalinidae
Description: bacterial SSU rRNA
Rfam family: Eukaryotic small subunit ribosomal RNA
Source: RNAcentral
GUAAUUCCAGCUCCAAUAGCGUAUAUUAAAGUUGUUGCAGUUAAAAAGCUCGUAGUUGGAUUUCGGGGCCCCAGACGUUCGUUGCGUUUCCUGUUGGACUUGUCUGGCGGGUGCGUGGCGGUCGUCGGUCUCUGAGUCGGAUCGGUCCGCCGAGAGGCGUGUACUGACCGACGGCCCCUGUUGUCUCUCGGGUUGCCCGCCUGCACUUAACUGUUGCGGACGGGGAGUUCGGGACGUUUACUUUGAACAAAUUAGAGUGUUCCAAGCAGGCCGGUUGCUUUGAAUACAUUAGCAUGGAAUAAUGGAAUAGGGCUGCGUGACUCGUUGCUCUCGGGUGGCGGGUCCUCGUGUCCUAUUUUGUUGGUUUUCGGGACCGCAGUCAUGGUCAAGAGGGACAGUUGGGGGCAUUCGUAUUCAGUUGUCAGAGGUGAAAUUCUUGGAUUUACGGAAGACGAACAACUGCGAAAGCAUUUGCCAAGGAUGUUUUCAUUAAUCAAGAACGAAAGUUGGGGGUUCGAAGACGAUCAGAUACCGUCGUAGUCCCAACCAUAAACCAUGCCGGCUAGGGAUCGGCGGACGUCGGUAGCGACUCCGUCGGCACCUCUCGAGAAAUCCAAGCCUUUGGGUUCCGGGGGGAGUAUGGUCGCAAGGCUGAAACUUAAAGGAAUUGACGGAAGGGCACCACCAGGAGUGGAGCCUGCGGCUUAAUUUGACUCAACACGGGGAACCUCACCAGGUCCGGACAUGGGAAGGAUUGACAGAUUGAGAGCUCUUUCUUGAUUCUAUGGGUGGUGGUGCAUGGCCGUUCUUAGUUGGUGGAGUGAUUUGUCUGGGUUGAUUCCGUUAACGAACGAGACCUUAACCUGCUAACUAGUCGCGCCGUUUCCGACGGCGGGAGUCCCCUUCUUCGCGG